This 740-nucleotide ribosomal RNA is filed under the name uncultured bacterium. Its description in RNAcentral is "bacterial SSU rRNA". It matches the Rfam family "Bacterial small subunit ribosomal RNA", at positions 34 to 777 of the family's 1533-position model. The record is from RNAcentral.
CGUGGCGGCGUGGAUUAGGCAUGCAGUCGAACGAGAACGUAGCAAUACGGGGAAAGUGGCGAAAGGGGCAGUAAGGCAUGGGUAAUCUACCCUGGGGACGUGGAUAGCCAUUCUAACGAGUGGGUAAUACACGGCGAUUCGGCGGAGGGGCAUCCCUUUGCCGGGAAAUGAAUUUCGCCUCGGGAGGAGCUCAUGUGAUAUUAGCUUGUUGGUGAGGUAACGGCUCACCAAGGCUCAGAUGUCUAGCGGGUGUGAGAGCACGACCCGCGCCACUGGCACUGAGACACUGGCCAGACACCUACGGGUGGCUGCAGUCGAGGAUCUUCGGCAAUGGGCGCAAGCCUGACCGAGCGACGCCGGUGUGUGACGAAGGCCUUCGGGUUGUAAAGCACUGUCGAAGGGGGAGGAAGCCGAAAGGUUGACCUAUCCCUGGAGGAAGCACGGGCUAAGUUCGUGCCAGCAGCCGCGGUAAGACGAACCGUGCGAACGUUGUUCGGAAUCACUGGGCUUAAAAGGGCGCGUAGGCGGGCCGCAAAAGUCAGGGGUGAAAUCCUCCAGCUUAACUGGAGAAGUGCCUUUGAUUACUGGGCGGCUUGAGGGAAGGGUAAGGGGCAUGCGGAAAUUGAUGGGUGGAGCGGUGAAAUGUGUUGAUAUCAAUCAGGAAAAUCCGGGUGGCGAAAGCGGGGUGCUGGACCUUUUUCUGAAGCUGAAGGGGGCGAAAGCCAGGGGGAGACAAGGGA